UACGAGGGGGGCAAGUGUUGUUCGGAAUCACUGGGCGUAAAGGGCGCGUAGGCGGAUGCUUAAGUUGGAUGUUUAAAACCGGGGCCUAACCCCGGGGCGGCAUCCAAAACUGGGCAUCUUGAAUGGAACAGAGGCUAGUGGAAUUGGGGGUGUAGCGGUGGAAUGCGUAGAGAUCCCCAAGAACACCAAUUGCGAAGGCAGCUAGCUGGGUUCACAUUGACGCUGAGGCUCGAAAGCAUGGGGAGCAAAC
This 250-nucleotide ribosomal RNA is filed under the name uncultured bacterium. RNAcentral describes it as "partial 16S ribosomal RNA". It matches the Rfam family "Bacterial small subunit ribosomal RNA", at positions 524 to 773 of the family's 1533-position model. The record is from RNAcentral.